GUAACAAGGUCUCCGUUGGUGAACCAGCGGAGGGAUCAUUACCGAGUUAUAACAACUCCAACCCUUUGUGAACCUUACCGUCGUUUCCUCGGCGCACUGCUGCGACCGCCCCGCAGGCGGCCCUCGCGGCCCCGCGGGCAGCUACCUACCCUGUACGGAUCUACCCUGCAGCAGCUGAAGGCGCAGCGGCGCCGAAAGGACCGCUACAAACUCUUUUAUCCAAGCUACGUCUGAACAAUUUACUAUGCAAAAUAGUUUAAAACUUUCAACAACGGAUCUCUUGGUUCUGGCAUCGAUGAAGAACGCAGCGAAAUGCGAUAAGUAAUGUGAAUUGCAGAAUUCAGUGAAUCAUCGAAUCUUUGAACGCACAUUGCGCCCAUUAGUAUUCUAGUGGGCAUGCCUAUUCGAGCGUCAUUUCGACCCUUAAGCCCUGUUGCUUAGCGUUGGGAGUCUGCGGCUUCGGCCGCAGUUCCUUAAAGUCAGUGGCGGAGCUGUGGCACACUCUAGGCGUAGUAGUUUUACCGCCUCGCCUCCAGAGUGGCCCCGGCUGCCUGCCGUAAAACCCCUAAUUUUCUAGUGGUUGACCUCGGAUUAGGUAGGAAUACCCGCUGAACUUAAGCAUAUCA
Molecule: unclassified non-coding RNA, 626 nt
Filed under: Annulohypoxylon truncatum
Lineage: Eukaryota; Fungi; Ascomycota; Sordariomycetes; Xylariales; Hypoxylaceae
Description: sequence contains 18S rRNA gene, ITS1, 5.8S rRNA gene, ITS2, 28S rRNA gene
Rfam family: 5.8S ribosomal RNA (bases 261-414)
Source: RNAcentral